Molecule: ribosomal RNA, 484 nt
Filed under: uncultured bacterium
Lineage: Bacteria
Description: partial 16S ribosomal RNA
Rfam family: Bacterial small subunit ribosomal RNA
Source: RNAcentral
AUUGAACGCUGGCGGCAGGCCUAACACAUGCAAGUCGAGCGGAUGAAGGGAGCUUGCUCCUGGAUUCAGCGGCGGACGGGUGAGUAAUGCCUAGGAAUCUGCCUGGUAGUGGGGGAUAACGUCCGGAAACGGGCGCUAAUACCGCAUACGUCCUGAGGGAGAAAGUGGGGGAUCUUCGGACCUCCCGCUAUCAGAUGAGCCUAGGUCAGAUUAGCUAGUUGGUGGGGUAAAGGCCUACCAAGGCGACGAUCCGUAACUGGUCUGAGAGGAUGAUCAGUCACACUGGAACUGAGACACGGUCCAGACUCCUACGGGAGGCAGCAGUGGGGAAUAUUGGACAAUGGGCGAAAGCCUGAUCCAGCCAUGCCGCGUGUGUGAAGAAGGUCUUCGGAUUGUAAAGCACUUUAAGUUGGGAGGAAGGGCAGUAAGUUAAUACCUUGCUGUUUUGACGUUACCAACAGAAUAAGCACCGGCUAACUUCGUG